Molecule: ribosomal RNA, 253 nt
Filed under: uncultured bacterium
Lineage: Bacteria
Description: partial 16S ribosomal RNA
Rfam family: Bacterial small subunit ribosomal RNA
Source: RNAcentral
CACGAAGGGGGCUAGCGUUGCUCGGAAUCACUGGGCGUAAAGGGCGCGUAGGCGGCGUUUUAAGUCGGGGGUGAAAGCCUGUGGCUCAACCACAGAAUGGCCUUCGAUACUGGGACGCUUGAGUAUGGUAGAGGUUGGUGGAACUGCGAGUGUAGAGGUGAAAUUCGUAGAUAUUCGCAAGAACACCGGUGGCGAAGGCGGCCAACUGGACCAUUACUGACGCUGAGGCGCGAAAGCGUGGGGAGCAAACAGG